AAGAAGUCCCCAUCAGCGAAGCAUCAUGGCUUUUACACCAUAUCGUAGAUUGAGAGGAUCAUACGUACCUGAGACCAAGAUUAUGUUGUGCGCUAUGCUUUCUGGAGUUGUUAUACUCCCUCUGAUAUUGUUCCUUGAAUGCCAUUAUGAGUACAAGUCAAUGGCAAGUUUGAAACCUGUUUGUUUCUGGAAAAAAGACUCUGACAUGAUGAACAAUUCUUCAAUACCCCCAGCCCAAUUAGGCCUUAGCCCCUCAUCUAGCAUUCGUCACACACGCCCCCUCAAGAACCUUUCUCCACCACCUUUCUAUCAG
Pelobates cultripes (western spadefoot toad) is the source of this 313-nucleotide non-coding RNA. The record is from the annotation of a GenBank genome assembly. Lineage: Eukaryota; Metazoa; Chordata; Amphibia; Anura; Pelobatidae.